GGAUGUUACAAUUCUCCCCUCCUAAAUAAAAACUUCGUCCCGAAGUUUACCUGUUGUAAACAAAUGCGGAUAUUGUUGUCGCAUGGUUUCUUCUGAUUCCCAAGUUGCUUCUUCUGUCUUAUGAUUCCUCCAAAGAACUUUCACCAAUGCUAUUUUCUUGUUCCGCAAUUCUUUAGUUUCUUUGGCUAGGAUCUGAACUGGUUCUUCUUCAUAAGUGAGAUCCGGCUGAAU
RNAcentral lists this long non-coding RNA (231 nucleotides) under Jatropha curcas. RNAcentral describes it as "long non-coding RNA (JCUR_LNC003389)". Lineage: Eukaryota; Viridiplantae; Streptophyta; Magnoliopsida; Malpighiales; Euphorbiaceae. The record is from RNAcentral.